RNAcentral lists this ribosomal RNA (265 nucleotides) under uncultured Rhodobacterales bacterium. RNAcentral's name for it is "partial 16S ribosomal RNA". It matches the Rfam family "Bacterial small subunit ribosomal RNA", at positions 505 to 769 of the family's 1533-position model. Lineage: Bacteria; Pseudomonadati; Pseudomonadota; Alphaproteobacteria; Rhodobacterales. The record is from RNAcentral.
GUGCCAGCAGCCGCGGUAACACGGAGGGGGCUAGCGUUGUUCAGAAUUACUGGGCGUAAAGCGCACGUAGGCGGAUCAGAAAGUUGGGGGUGAAAUCCCGGGGCUCAACCUCGGAACUGCCUUCAAAACUAUUGGUCUUGAGUUCGAGAGAGGUGAGUGGAAUUCCGAGUGUAGAGGUGAAAUUCGUAGAUAUUCGGAGGAACACCAGUGGCGAAGGCGGCUCACUGGCUCGAUACUGACGCUGAGGUGCGAAAGCGUGGGGAGC